RNAcentral lists this ribosomal RNA (466 nucleotides) under uncultured bacterium. RNAcentral describes it as "partial 16S ribosomal RNA". It matches the Rfam family "Bacterial small subunit ribosomal RNA", at positions 30 to 507 of the family's 1533-position model. The record is from RNAcentral.
CGACCGCUGGCGGCGUGCUUAACACAUGCAAAUCGACCGGAAAGGCCCUGCUUUUGUGGGGUGCUCGAGUGGCGAACGGGUGAGUAACACGUGAGUAACCUGCCCUUGACUUUGGGAUAACUUCAGGAAACUGGGGCUAAUACCGGAUAGGAGCUCCUGCUGCAUGGUGGGGGUUGGAAAGUUUCGGCGGUUGGGGAUGGACUCGCGGCUUAUCAGCUUGUUGGUGGGGUAGUGGCUUACCAAGGCUUUGACGGGUAGCCGGCCUGAGAGGGUGACCGGCCACAUUGGGACUGAGAUACGGCCCAGACUCCUACGGGAGGCAGCAGUGGGGAAUAUUGCACAAUGGGCGGAAGCCUGAUGCAGCAACGCCGCGUGCGGGAUGACGGCCUUCGGGUUGUAAACCGCUUUCGCCUGUGACGAAGCGUGAGUGACGGUAAUGGGUAAAGAAGCACCGGCUAACUACGUG